Molecule: transfer RNA, 73 nt
Filed under: Ovis aries (sheep)
Lineage: Eukaryota; Metazoa; Chordata; Mammalia; Artiodactyla; Bovidae
Rfam family: tRNA
About the family: Transfer RNA (tRNA) molecules are approximately 80 nucleotides in length. Their secondary structure includes four short double-helical elements and three loops (D, anti-codon, and T loops). Further hydrogen bonds mediate the characteristic L-shaped molecular structure. tRNAs have two regions of fundamental functional importance: the anti-codon, which is responsible for specific mRNA codon recognition, and the 3' end, to which the tRNAs corresponding amino acid is attached (by aminoacyl-tRNA synthetases). tRNAs cope with the degeneracy of the genetic code in two manners: having more than one tRNA (with a specific anti-codon) for a particular amino acid; and 'wobble' base-pairing, i.e. permitting non-standard base-pairing at the 3rd anti-codon position.
Source: Rfam by way of RNAcentral
UCCCUGAUGGCUCAGAGGUUAAAGCGUCUGCCUCCAAUGCCGGGAGACCCAGGUUCGAUCCCUGGGUUGGGAU